AAUAUACUUCCUCCGUCCCAAAAUUUUUGUCUUAAAUUUGUCUAAAUACGGAUGUAUCAAGUCACGUUAUAGUAUUAGAUGCAUCCGUAUCUAGACAAAUAUAAGACAAGAAUUUUGGGACGGAGGGAGUAUGUU
This is a non-coding RNA of Triticum aestivum (bread wheat), 135 nucleotides long. The record is from Rfam. Lineage: Eukaryota; Viridiplantae; Streptophyta; Magnoliopsida; Poales; Poaceae.